RNAcentral lists this long non-coding RNA (433 nucleotides) under Phoenix dactylifera (date palm). RNAcentral describes it as "long non-coding RNA (PDAC_LNC004106)". The record is from RNAcentral. Lineage: Eukaryota; Viridiplantae; Streptophyta; Magnoliopsida; Arecales; Arecaceae.
CAACAUUCUCAAAAUAAUGUUUUUUUUUUAUCAUUCAAAAAUUGAUUUUGAAUCCGAGUGAAUGUUCUAAUUUUUAUGCAACUCCAAUCGCCUCCCUGUGGAUCGACCUCUUACAACCACUAUUCUUCGAGUAGGAAAGGUAAGAGUAGAAUUUAAAUUUAACUUUUGUUCGUCGGUUCUAACAACGAUCCGUCUAGCAUAUUUUUAGGUGGACAGGAAAGGACGAACAGAAUUUUGGCGCCGUUGCCGGGGAGGCAAAUCGAGAAGCAAGAACGAUCACGAAGAUCAAAUCGGAUUUUGGAUGCCCGGAGUGAACGCACUCCGGUAGUAAGUUUUUAUUUUUAUUAAUUUUUCUUAUUUUGAUUAUUUUCAGUUAGUAAUUUCGUAGUUAUUAAAUUCUGAAAUUUGAAAUUCGAAAUUAAAGUUUUCUAAA